UGAGGAGACAUCUUGUCUAAAGAUGUGAGAUCAGCAAUGGAAGUGUGAAGAGUAUUUGGUUGUUCCUGUUCUGGCUGCCCCUGUACCUGAUGGAGAGCUUGCUUUGCAGAGACAUUCAGAGAUAGAGAGUGCCUUCACAGCCUGUCGCCCUUGGAAUUUAGUGUCCAAAACAAGAGACAAGAAAGGUAAACCGUGAUACAAGGAAAAACAAGGGCUCCCUAUCCCUGGGAGAUACUGAGCACCUUCUGAGAGAGGCUGAGCUGGCUUGAAUGGGGUAAGAGGGUGUUCAGCGCACCACAGGAGUUGCUCAGCACUGCAAAUCAGCUUCAGAACAGAAAACGGAUGCCUUACUGUGAAUCACAUUGGCCAAAUCAGGAUGGCAUGAAAUAGUGGUACUUAAGGGAUACUUACAUGGAACUUGAAGGGGGAGUAGAUAAUGCCAGUAACAGAGAAGAAAAUCUAAUCAAGUACAGGAGUUUUAUAUUCAUGUAACAAGAUAAUAUCGAAAACUGUCACAAUAUUUGGUUAGAGCAAGAACCAUGGUCCAUUAGCAGCAGGAAAAAGC
Caretta caretta (loggerhead turtle) is the source of this 565-nucleotide long non-coding RNA. RefSeq lists it as uncharacterized. The record is from RefSeq and is a predicted model, not a curated record. NCBI's taxonomy places the organism in Eukaryota, Metazoa, Chordata, Testudines, Cheloniidae.